RNAcentral lists this unclassified non-coding RNA (346 nucleotides) under plant metagenome. RNAcentral's name for it is "partial contains 5.8S ribosomal RNA, internal transcribed spacer 2, and large subunit ribosomal RNA". The stretch from base 1 to 105 matches the Rfam family "5.8S ribosomal RNA", at positions 50 to 154 of the family's 154-position model. The record is from RNAcentral.
GAAAUGCGAUAAGUAAUGUGAAUUGCAGAAUUCAGUGAACCAUCGAACCUUUGAACGCACAUUGCGCCCCCUGGCAUCCCGGGGGGCAUGCCUGUCCGAGCGUCAUGCGUCACAUCGGACCCCCCCCAGCUGGGGUCCGGAGUUGGGUGCCCGCGUCGCCCUCGACCCGAGAAGGCGCGGGGCUCAAAAUGAAACCCCCUUGGUGGAAGAUCACCCGGCGGAGCAGAGCGACCGAGGCAUGAUGCCACCGCUCGAAGCCCCGCCCCCCCGAUCGACCCACGUCGGUCGGAGGCACCAACGCAGCGACUGACCUCGGAUCAGGUAGGGAUACCCGCUGAACUUAAGC